UGGGGGAUAUUGCACAAUGGAGGGAACCCUGAUGCAGCGACGCCGCGUGGGUGAAGAAGCGCCUCGGCGCGUAAAGCCCUGUCAGCAGGGAAGAAAAUGACGGUACCUGAAGAAGAAGCCCCGGCUAACUACGUGCC
Molecule: ribosomal RNA, 137 nt
Filed under: uncultured bacterium
Lineage: Bacteria
Description: partial 16S ribosomal RNA
Rfam family: Bacterial small subunit ribosomal RNA
Source: RNAcentral